Paramuricea clavata is the source of this 348-nucleotide non-coding RNA. NCBI's taxonomy places the organism in Eukaryota, Metazoa, Cnidaria, Anthozoa, Malacalcyonacea, Plexauridae. The record is from the annotation of a GenBank genome assembly.
UUGAAACAAACGGCGCCCCAUAUGUUUGCGAUGUUACUCUGAGUGCAUAUCCACACCGGGCGAGCUUGAAAAAUAUGCCCGGCCACGGUGGGAUUCGAACCUACGACCUUUGGAAUACUAGCCCUAGCUCUUAAUAUCUAUUGAGACUUUGAGCGCCGUGAACAACACAAGCUUCUUCCUCGCACCGCGAAAUUUUGGUGCGGAAUCUUACAUCCCGAAGUACGUUCGAGAGAAACAAAAAAGUUUUGUACGGCCUUAAGGUAAAUAUAUUCUAUUUUAAGUUUUAACUAGAUGUAGCAUUAAUGAUCAUAGCUGUUGACACAGUAGACCACAGUAGGCUGUAGUGGA